GACGAACGCUGGCGGCGUGCUUAACACAUGCAAGUCGAACGGAAAGGCCCUGCUUUUGUGGGGUGCUCGAGUGGCGAACGGGUGAGUAACACGUGAGUAACCUGCCCUUGACUUUGGGAUAACUUCAGGAAACUGGGGCUAAUACCGGAUAGGAGCUCCUGCUGCAUGGUGGGGGUUGGAAAGUUUCGGCGGUUGGGGAUGGACUCGCGGCUUAUCAGCUUGUUGGUGGGGUAGUGGCUUACCAAGGCGUCGACGGGUAGCCGGCCUGAGAGGGUGACCGGCCACAUUGGGACUGAGAUACGGCCCAGACUACUACGGGAGGCAGCAGUGGGGAAUAUUGCACAAUGGGCGGAAGCCUGAUGCAGCAACGCCGCGUGCGGGAUGACGGCCUUCGGGUUGUAAACCGCUUUCGCCUGUGACGAAGCGUGAGUGACGGUAAUGGGUAAAGAAGCAACGGCUAACUACGUG
RNAcentral lists this ribosomal RNA (468 nucleotides) under uncultured bacterium. RNAcentral's name for it is "partial 16S ribosomal RNA". It matches the Rfam family "Bacterial small subunit ribosomal RNA", at positions 28 to 507 of the family's 1533-position model. The record is from RNAcentral.